AUUGAACGCUGGCGGCAGGCCUAACACAUGCAAGUCGAGCGGCAGCGGGAAAGUAGCUUGCUACUUUUGCCGGCGAGCGGCGGACGGGUGAGUAAUGCCUGGGGAUCUGCCCAGUCGAGGGGGAUAACUACUGGGAACGGUAGCUAAUACCGCAUACGCCCUACGGGGGAAAGCAGGGGACCUUCGGGCCUUGCGCGAUUGGAUGAACCCAGGUGGGAUUAGCUAGUUGGUGAGGUAACGGCUCACCAAGGCGACGAUCCCUAGCUGGUCUGAGAGGAGGAUCAGCCACACUGGAACUGAGACACGGUCCAGACUCCUACGGGAGGCAGCAGUGGGGAAUAUUGCACAAUGGGGGAAACCCUGAUGCAGCCAUGCCGCGUGUGUGAAGAAGGCCUUCGGGUUGUAAAGCACUUUCAGCGAGGAGGAAAGGUCAGUAGCUAAUAUCUGCUGGCUGUGACGUUACUCGCAGAAGAAGCACCGGCUAACUCCGUGCCAGCAGCCGCUGUAA
RNAcentral lists this ribosomal RNA (508 nucleotides) under uncultured bacterium. Its description in RNAcentral is "partial 16S ribosomal RNA". It matches the Rfam family "Bacterial small subunit ribosomal RNA", at positions 29 to 523 of the family's 1533-position model. The record is from RNAcentral.